CCUACGGGUGGCAGCAGUGAGGAAUAUUGGUCAAUGGGCGGAAGCCUGAACCAGCCAAGUAGCGUGCAGGAUGACGGCCCUACGGGUUGUAAACUGCUUUUACACGGGAAUAACGCGCCUUACGUGUACGGCUUUGCAUGUACCGUAAGAAUAAGCACCGGCUAAUUCCGUGCCAGCAGCCGCGGUAAUACGGAAGGUCCGAGCGUUAUCCGGAUUUAUUGGGUUUAAAGGGUGCGUAGGCGGCUUGUCAAGGUAGCGGUAAAAUCGCGGAGCUCAACUCGGCCCAGCAGUUGAAACUGGUGUGCUUGAGUGGGCGAGAAGCAGGCGGAAUGCGUCGUGUAGCGGUGAAAUGCAUAGAUAUGACGAAGAACCCCGAUUGCGAAGGCAGCUUGCUGCAGCGGGACUGACGCUGAUGCACGAAAGCGCGGGUAUCGAACAGGAUUAGAUACCCCAGUAGUC
RNAcentral lists this ribosomal RNA (459 nucleotides) under uncultured bacterium. Its description in RNAcentral is "partial 16S ribosomal RNA". It matches the Rfam family "Bacterial small subunit ribosomal RNA", at positions 338 to 795 of the family's 1533-position model. The record is from RNAcentral.